AUUAAACUAAAGAGUUUGAUCCUGGCUCAGAUUGAACGCUGGCGGCAUGCCUUACACAUGCAAGUCGAACGGCAGCAUGGAGAGCUUGCUCUCUGAUGGCGAGUGGCGAACGGGUGAGUAAAGCAUCGGAACGUACCGUGUAAUGGGGGAUAACGUAGCGAAAGUUACGCUAAUACCGCAUACGACCUGAGGGUGAAAGCAGGGGAUCGCAAGACCUU
Molecule: ribosomal RNA, 218 nt
Filed under: Rhodocyclaceae bacterium
Lineage: Bacteria; Pseudomonadati; Pseudomonadota; Betaproteobacteria; Rhodocyclales; Rhodocyclaceae
Description: partial 16S ribosomal RNA
Rfam family: Bacterial small subunit ribosomal RNA
Source: RNAcentral